UGUAGGAAUAUUUCCUCCACGAAUGUAUGGUUUAUCGCCAGAUGAUCUUACUUUGUCUAUGUGCUUAAAUUGCUUGAGUGAAGAAAAAUCAUUUGGUAUAUCUUCAUUUAGUAGUCAGCCACCAAAAUAACGAAUGAGAAAACUUUCGAGCACAAAGAUAUAUAAAGGUUUCUUUCGUGGAUAAGUAUUUCGUUUGGAUCCCGUCCUAU
This is a long non-coding RNA of Arabidopsis thaliana (thale cress), 209 nucleotides long. RefSeq annotates it as other RNA. The transcript has a single exon. The record is from RefSeq. Lineage: Eukaryota; Viridiplantae; Streptophyta; Magnoliopsida; Brassicales; Brassicaceae.